Molecule: microRNA precursor, 67 nt
Filed under: Bombyx mori (domestic silkworm)
Lineage: Eukaryota; Metazoa; Arthropoda; Insecta; Lepidoptera; Bombycidae
Description: mir-2774 microRNA precursor family
Rfam family: mir-2774 microRNA precursor family
Source: Rfam by way of RNAcentral
ACAACAUUCGGACCGUCGGUCCACAGAGCAAUAUCACCCACUCGGUGAAAGAUCUUCACUUUGUCGU